This 468-nucleotide ribosomal RNA is filed under the name uncultured bacterium. Its description in RNAcentral is "partial 16S ribosomal RNA". It matches the Rfam family "Bacterial small subunit ribosomal RNA", at positions 28 to 507 of the family's 1533-position model. The record is from RNAcentral.
GACGAACGCUGGCGGCGUGCUUAACACAUGCAAGUCGAACGGAAAGGCCCUGCUUUUGUGGGGUGCUCGAGUGGCGAACGGGUGAGUAACACGUGAGUAACCUGCCCUUGACUUUGGGAUAACUUCAGGAAACUGGGGCUAAUACCGGAUAGGAGCUCCUGCUGCAUGGUGGGGGUUGGAAAGUUUCGGCGGUUGGGGAUGGACUCGCGGCUUAUCAGCUUGUUGGUGGGGUAGUGGCUUACCAAGGCUUUGACGGGUAGCCGGCCUGAGAGGGUGACCGGGCACAUUGGGACUGAGAUACGCCGCAGACUCCUAUGGGAGGCAGCAGUGGGGAAUAUUGCGCAAUGGGGGGGAGCCUGAGAUGGAAACGCCCCGUGCGGGAUGACGGGCUUUGGGUUGUAAACCGCUUUCUCCGGUGACGAAGCGUGAGUGACGGUAAUGGGUAAAGAAGCACCGGCUAACUACGUG